RNAcentral lists this ribosomal RNA (436 nucleotides) under uncultured Clostridium sp. RNAcentral describes it as "partial 16S ribosomal RNA". It matches the Rfam family "Bacterial small subunit ribosomal RNA", at positions 341 to 792 of the family's 1533-position model. The record is from RNAcentral. Lineage: Bacteria; Bacillati; Bacillota; Clostridia; Eubacteriales; Clostridiaceae.
ACGGAAGGCAGCAGUGGGGGAUAUUGCACAAUGGGGGAAACCCUGAUGCAGCGACGCCGCGUGAGUGAAGAAGUAUUUCGGUAUGUAAAGCUCUAUCAGCAGGGAAGAAUAGAUGACGGUACCUGACUAAGAAGCCCCGGCUAACUACGCCCCAGCAGCCGCGGUAAUACGUAGGGCGCAAGCUUUAUCCGGAAUUACUGGGUGUAAAGGGAGUGUAGGCGGGACGGUAAGUCAGAUGUGAAAUAUGGCGGCUCAACUGGCAGACUGCAUUUGAAACUGCGGUUCUUGAGUGAAGUAGAGGUAAGCGGAAUUCCUAGUGUAGCGGUGAAAUGCGUAGAUAUUAGGAGGAACAUCAGUGGCGAAGGCGGCUUACUGGGCUUUAACUGACGCUGAGGCUCGAAAGUGUGGGGAGCAAACAGGAUUAGAUACCCUGGUA